Molecule: ribosomal RNA, 430 nt
Filed under: uncultured bacterium
Lineage: Bacteria
Description: bacterial SSU rRNA
Rfam family: Bacterial small subunit ribosomal RNA
Source: RNAcentral
CGAACGCUGGCGGCAGGCCUAACACAUGCAAGUCGAGCGCUUCCCUUCGGGGAGGAGCGGCGGACGGGUUAGUAACGCGUGGGAACGUACCCUUUUCUGCGGGAUAGCCAUUGGAAACGAUGAGUAAUACCGCAUACGCCCUUCGGGGGAAAGAUUUAUCGGAGAAGGAUCGGCCCGCGUUAGAUUAGAUAGUUGGUGGGGUAAUGGCCUACCAAGUCUACGAUCUAUAGCUGGUUUGAGAGGAUGAUCAGCAACACUGGGACUGAGACACGGCCCAGACUCCUACGGGAGGCAGCAGUGGGGAAUCUUAGACAAUGGGCGCAAGCCUGAUCUAGCCAUGCCGCGUGAGUGAUGAAGGCCUUAGGGUCGUAAAGCUCUUUCGCCUGUGAAGAUAAUGACUGUAGCAGGUAAAGAAACCCCGGCUAACUCC